AUGAUACCAAUUGUUGGAACCGUAGCCCUCUCUCACGCUCGACUAGAGGUAGAAGAAGACACAAGACACAAGAAAUUUCGGGCCGGCGCACGAACGCCGCCGUGGGCGCACACACGCCUUAAUCUUCUUUAUCUUUUCAAUGGCUACAUCGCUGGCUCUUCCGGCGCACUUAAUCAGUACAUGGAAGGGCUUUUUAUACCCGGACGCACACACCAGGCUAGCUACCACGCACGCACCGACCACUACUGCCUAUCUCGCCCAGCUACGCACGCGAUCCGCAUGUCACACCGGCCGCGCUCAAACGCAUGCCACGGCCUGCUCGGAUCGCCCCGGCUCCUUUGCAACCAACCAACUACCUGA
Molecule: ribosomal RNA, 360 nt
Filed under: Triticum aestivum (bread wheat)
Lineage: Eukaryota; Viridiplantae; Streptophyta; Magnoliopsida; Poales; Poaceae
Description: partial small subunit ribosomal RNA
Source: RNAcentral